This 71-nucleotide transfer RNA is filed under the name Buchnera aphidicola (Hormaphis cornu). Its description in RNAcentral is "tRNA-Cys". It matches the Rfam family "tRNA". From Rfam's summary of the family: Transfer RNA (tRNA) molecules are approximately 80 nucleotides in length. Their secondary structure includes four short double-helical elements and three loops (D, anti-codon, and T loops). Lineage: Bacteria; Pseudomonadati; Pseudomonadota; Gammaproteobacteria; Enterobacterales; Erwiniaceae. The record is from RNAcentral.
GGCGCUUUGGCAGAUCGGUUAUGCAGCGGAUUGCAAAUCCGCCAAGCUCGGUUCAACUCCGGGAUGCGCCU